Transfer RNA from Sclerotinia sclerotiorum, 98 nucleotides. It matches the Rfam family "tRNA". Rfam says of the family: Transfer RNA (tRNA) molecules are approximately 80 nucleotides in length. Their secondary structure includes four short double-helical elements and three loops (D, anti-codon, and T loops). NCBI's taxonomy places the organism in Eukaryota, Fungi, Ascomycota, Leotiomycetes, Helotiales, Sclerotiniaceae. The record is from Rfam.
UCCGGCAUGGUGUAGUGGCUAGCAUUUCCGCCUCUCAUUCGAGUUCAUUAGCUCAAAUCAGGUCGCGGGAGACCGGGGUUCAAUUCCCCGUACCGGAA